CCUACGGGUGGCAGCAGUGAGGAAUAUUGGUCAAUGGGCGGGAGCCUGAACCAGCCAUGCCGCGUGAAGGCGAGUGCCCUACGGGCGUUAAACUUCUUUUGUGCGGGAGCAAUAAGGGCCACGCGUGGCCCGAUGAGAGUACCGCACGAAUAAGCAUCGGCUAACUCCGUGCCAGCAGCCGCGGUAAUACGGGGGAUGCGAGCGUUAUCCGGAUUUAUUGGGUUUAAAGGGUGCGUAGGCGGCGCUUCAGGUCAGCGGUGAAAUACCGGGGCUCAACCCCGGGGCUGCCGUUGAAACCGGAGCGCUAGAAUUCCGAUGCCGUCGGAGGAAUGUGUGGUGUAGCGGUGAAAUGCAUAGAUAUGACGAAGAACCCCGAUUGCAAAGGCAGCUUGCUGCAGCGGAACUGACGCUGAUGCUCGAAAGCGCGGGUAUCGAACAGGAUUAGAUACCCUUGUAGUC
Molecule: ribosomal RNA, 459 nt
Filed under: uncultured bacterium
Lineage: Bacteria
Description: partial 16S ribosomal RNA
Rfam family: Bacterial small subunit ribosomal RNA
Source: RNAcentral